This 1783-nucleotide unclassified non-coding RNA is filed under the name Hevea brasiliensis (rubber tree). Lineage: Eukaryota; Viridiplantae; Streptophyta; Magnoliopsida; Malpighiales; Euphorbiaceae. The record is from RNAcentral.
UCACCUCAAAAAAGGGUAUUGACAGGGGUGGUUCGAUUCACCUCCCAGCACUCUAGUUUAUAUAAUCAGGUUGGGAAGGGUUUGAAUGGAAAACCUUAGUCUGCCCUGCCAUAUUUCUUUCCAAAUACUGGUUUGGGCCAGGACAGGACUAACAGAAUAUUGCUGGCCCAAGCCUGACAAUUGUCCAUGCCAGGCUGGCUGGGUCCCUAAAGUUCAUGAACAGGUCUAAUCGCAAGUAUUUAAAUCUGAUAAAAAUGGAUGUCGGGAUCAGUUCUGGUCCUAUCAUAAUCCCAAUCUGAGAUCUUUGUUAUUUUUUCUUGAUUCAUAUGAUAAUUCUGAUGAAAGCACAUGGACAUGGGUAACAUCUUCAUAGAUUGGCUAAGAAUCUGUAAUUGCAAAUAGGCAACUGGUUUUUUACAUGGCACAAAUGAUUAGCAGUUAGUUUGACAAUUGAGACUUAGAUGGCUCAGAAUGCUAAUGAAUUCAAUUAAGAUUCGAGUUUCCUAAAUUUUUGAGCUAAUGGAUUGAGACAACUACUUGUUAGAUCAUUCAAUUUGGAUCUCUUGUGCAUCCCUGGCAUUACCAUCUAUCUCUGACCUGUCUUUUGUGGUAGGAUUAGACUUUGCUUGUGGCUUACUCAUAUGAAGUUUACAACAUAACUCUCAGGAAGGGGGGAGGGAUAAAGGAAAUAGGAAAACACAAAGAUGAGUGUAGAUCCUGCUCUCAUUUGGCUGUUUGUUGAAAGUACAAGCCCUGAUAUACCUGUUCUCACAGCAUCAUUUUUAUAUGAGACUGUCUUCUUGAAGUUCAUGAAAUAUAAUUUUACCUUAAGAGGAUUUACUGUGUAUAUAAAGUAUCAAUGACCAUCUGCUAUUGAUGCAGAACCCUAGUUUCACACACAAAAAUGUUUCAAUCAACAAAAACCAAAUAUUCCAGUAAAGGCUACAUUCAUACUCUAGCUUUACAAAUGGGUAUACUGCAUUAGCUAUGCUCCUGGUAUUGCAUCGAUUAAAGAAUUUAUAUUUCCAAAGGACACCUUCUCAUAUGUGUGUUUCCUCUAGUUUUUGGAGAUCCAUUUAUGGUGUUUUCCUAUAGGUUCCUGGCAUAGCUUAAUAUGCGGCUUAAGUACAUACAGAUUAUUGUUGAAUUUUUGUCCUCUAUAUGGUAGAUAUGCACACCAUUGGAAUUUAUGGUGCUGGCACAUAAAUUCCAAAAGCUGUUCAUUAGGCUUGGUAUUGCAAUGCUGCAAUCCAUUCAAUUGCUGAAUCUGGUGUUUUUUAAAGCUCAAUGUAAACUUACGAACCAAGGUUUCGUGAAGGCGAAGCACAAAGUAUGAUAUGAAGCCAUGAAGGUGCUUGUUUGAGUUAAUAUAAGUCUAAAUCUCUUUAUAUGAAAAAUAAUUAUAAAACGUCAAAGGAACAAGAGAAAGUUAUGACAGUAGUGAUUUGUGUAUCUCAUUUAACUUAAAUUGUUGAGCACUGUGCCACUGCACAAAGGUUGUACAUUUGAAUCCUGCAUGAGCUAUUUAAAUUAUUUAAAACUUCAAUCUGAUGAUAUGCAAUGCAACCAAGCUAAAUGGUUAUGAAAAGAAAAUUGAAACAAUUUUAGUUCACCUCUUUCUAUUAUGAUUUCCAAACUUGGACAUGAGCAUGGAAAAGCAAGAUGAAGAAAAAAGAAAAUUAAGUUUACAAAUUGCCUGGACUUUGAAAUACAUGUGGAAUUAUGGUGUUUUACCAACAGAAUUUAUCUGUUUUGGGGAAAUUGCGUACAAAGGAGAGAGCAA